RNAcentral lists this ribosomal RNA (253 nucleotides) under uncultured bacterium. Its description in RNAcentral is "partial 16S ribosomal RNA". It matches the Rfam family "Bacterial small subunit ribosomal RNA", at positions 524 to 776 of the family's 1533-position model. The record is from RNAcentral.
UACGGAAGGGGCUAGCGUUGUUCGGAAUUACUGGGCGUAAAGAGCGCGUAGGCGGCUUACCAAGUUGGGGGUGAAAUCCCGGAGCUCAACUCCGAAACUGCCUUCAAAACUGGUAGGCUCGAGUCCGGAAGAGGGGCGUGGAAUUCCCAGUGUAGAGGUGAAAUUCGUAGAUAUUGGGAAGAACACCGGUGGCGAAGGCGGCGCACUGGUCCGGCACUGACGCUGAGGCUCGAAAGCGUGGGGAGCAAACAGG